This is a transfer RNA of Ovis aries (sheep), 72 nucleotides long. It matches the Rfam family "tRNA". Rfam says of the family: Transfer RNA (tRNA) molecules are approximately 80 nucleotides in length. The record is from Rfam. Lineage: Eukaryota; Metazoa; Chordata; Mammalia; Artiodactyla; Bovidae.
UCCCUGGUGGCUCAGAGGUUAAAGCGUCUGCCUGCAAUGCGGGAGACCUGGGUUUGAUCCCUGGGUCGGGAA